AGAGUUUGAUCUGGCUCAGAUUGAACGCUGGCGGCAUGCCUAACACAUGCAAGUCGAACGGCAGCACGGGAGCUUGCUCCUGGUGGCGAGUGGCGGACGGGUGAGUAAUACAUAGGAAUCUGCCCAUUUGUGGGGGACAACCUGGUGAAAACCAGGCUAAUACCGCAUAAGCCCUACGGGGGAAAGCGGGGGAUCUUCGGACCUCGCGCAGAUGGAGGAGCCUAUGUCUGAUUAGCUUGUUGGUGGGGUAACGGCUUACCAAGGCGACGAUCAGUAGCUGGUCUGAGAGGAUGAUCAGCCACACUGGGACUGAGACACGGCCCAGACUCCUACGGGAGGCAGCAGUGGGGAAUAUUGGACAAUGGGGGAAACCCUGAUCCAGCAAUGCCGCGUGUGUGAAGAAGGCCUUAGGGUUGUAAAGCACUUUCAGUAGUGAGGAAAAGCUCAAGGUUAAUACCCUUGGGCCCUGACGUUAACUACAGAAGAAGCACCGGCUAACUUCGUGCCAGCAGCCGCGGUAAUACGAAGGGUGCAAGCGUUAAUCGGAUUUACUGGGCGUAAAGCGCGCGUAGGCGGUUAGGUAAGUCGGAUGUGAAAGCCCCGGGCUCAACCUGGGAAUUGCAUUCGAUACUGCCUGGCUAGAGUAUGGUAGAGGGAAGUGGAAUUCCACAUGUAGCGGUGAAAUGCAUAGAUAUGUGGAGGAACACCAGUGGCGAAGGCGACUUCCUGGCCCAAUACUGACGCUGAGGUGCGAAAGCGUGGGGAGCAAACAGGAUUAGAUACCCCUGGUAGUCCACGCCGUAAACGAUGUCAACUA
Molecule: ribosomal RNA, 817 nt
Filed under: uncultured bacterium
Lineage: Bacteria
Description: bacterial SSU rRNA
Rfam family: Bacterial small subunit ribosomal RNA
Source: RNAcentral